This 64-nucleotide transfer RNA is filed under the name Cricetulus griseus (Chinese hamster). It matches the Rfam family "tRNA", at positions 6 to 65 of the family's 71-position model. Rfam says of the family: Transfer RNA (tRNA) molecules are approximately 80 nucleotides in length. Their secondary structure includes four short double-helical elements and three loops (D, anti-codon, and T loops). Further hydrogen bonds mediate the characteristic L-shaped molecular structure. tRNAs have two regions of fundamental functional importance: the anti-codon, which is responsible for specific mRNA codon recognition, and the 3' end, to which the tRNAs corresponding amino acid is attached (by aminoacyl-tRNA synthetases). tRNAs cope with the degeneracy of the genetic code in two manners: having more than one tRNA (with a specific anti-codon) for a particular amino acid; and 'wobble' base-pairing, i.e. permitting non-standard base-pairing at the 3rd anti-codon position. Lineage: Eukaryota; Metazoa; Chordata; Mammalia; Rodentia; Cricetidae. The record is from Rfam by way of RNAcentral.
UGUGGUUCAGUGGGUAGGAGCACUUGCUUUACAAGCAUGAGGACCUGGGUUCAAAUCUCAAGCA